CUGCUGUAACCCUGAACAGGAUACACAGGUUCAAGUAAAAGGACAGCAAACAAUUCCACAUUGCACAGCCAGGAAACAGAAGAGUACCACUCUGCUAUUGAUCGGGCAAAGACCCCAAGAAGACCAACUGGCUUGUGCUAGUUAGAAGUGGCUCACCUCUGCUGAUAUCUUUCAUAUCAAAGGAGUGUUUGACUGCACGCAGCACUGCCCCCCCACAA
This is a long non-coding RNA of Polypterus senegalus (gray bichir), 218 nucleotides long. RefSeq lists it as uncharacterized. The record is from RefSeq and is a predicted model, not a curated record. The transcript is spliced from 3 exons. NCBI's taxonomy places the organism in Eukaryota, Metazoa, Chordata, Cladistia, Polypteriformes, Polypteridae.